GUACAAGUCGUAACAAGGUAUCCGUAGGUGAACCUGCGGAUGGAUCAUUACCAAAGGAUCCACAUCCCACGUACUGUGAACUGUCUGAUGCGCCGGUGGUGGCUGGGAGUUGGCUUUGCCGCUCGCAGUCGUCGCCGCGCACCACAUUCUACACGUCUACUCAUACAACUGAAGUCUUGUUUAUACAAUGAAACUAUAAACAACUUUUAGCAAUGGAUCUCUUGGCUCUU
RNAcentral lists this unclassified non-coding RNA (230 nucleotides) under fungal sp. RNAcentral describes it as "partial internal transcribed spacer region". The stretch from base 1 to 50 matches the Rfam family "Eukaryotic small subunit ribosomal RNA", at positions 1782 to 1831 of the family's 1831-position model. The record is from RNAcentral. Lineage: Eukaryota; Fungi.